Molecule: long non-coding RNA, 1139 nt
Organism: Psammomys obesus (fat sand rat)
Lineage: Eukaryota; Metazoa; Chordata; Mammalia; Rodentia; Muridae
Exons: 3
Source: RefSeq, a predicted model, not a curated record
GGCCGGCGAGUCGGCGGCGGCGUCCGCUCCUUCCCCACGCAGUGCGGACCGCCCUCCCGCAGCCUAGAGCGGCUCCGCGGACCGCGGCGGCACCAGCGAGACAGGGCCGGCGAGCACGGCGAGGCGGGGAUAGAGCGGACGCGCACAGCUGCGGAGGGUGCCAGCGGCCUCUAGCGGGCGAACGGGGAGGUUCAGGCCUAACUGCGGAGAGGUGACCAUUGCCUCGCACGGAGAGCCGCACGGAGAGCCGCACGGAGAGCCGGAGGCAGAGAAGGGAAAAGCCACUCGCUUGUCAGAAAAAAGGCGGGAAAGAUGUCUCAGCAGUUAAAAGCACAGACUGCUCUUCCAGGAGGUUUGACUACCAACGCCCACACAGGGUCUCCGCCCACUAUAGCUCCGAUUUCAUGGGAUACCGCGCCCUCUUCUGGACUCCAAGGCACUUGCAUACGACUGAUGCACACAUCCAUGGCAACCAGACACAAACAUUAAAAAACAAACAACAGGUGCAUUGACCCACAAGGAGCGCCUCGUCGGCCCGUGCCUUGUGGCAUCGUGAAGACAGCUGGAAAAUACGGCAAAACAGGAAGUUAUCAUCUGAGGCCAGGGAUCAUCUUACAUACUUUUAAUCCCAGCACUCAGUAGGCAAAGGCAAAAUCUCUGUGAGUUCAAGACCAGCUUCAACUGCAGCUCCAGGACAGGACUCUCUAAAGAGAAGCUUCUCAAAAAGAAAAACAACAACAAAAACCCUACCAUUUGGUCAAGGGAAAAUUCAGAAAGGAAAGGAAGUAGGGCCAUGUUAAGAACACAGGAAAAAAAAAAAAAAAGACAUUACGGAGCAAGUUUACUGUCUUACUUCAACUGAAAGUUUAGCCUCAAGAGUCUGCAGGUGAACCAGUCAAACUAGUGGGGCUCCAACAUCUGGAGCGCUGUCCACAAGGUCAUCUACACUGCGUAGAGCAAAACAAAGAUCAAAUAGCUGCAUUGGGGCUGGCCUCAACUGCUGGGUCCCACACGACGGAAGGAGAAACUACCUGAUCACCCUCUGACUGCCACACCUGCACCAUCACAUACACGCAAGCACAUGCACAUGCACGCGCGCGCACACACACACACACAUAAAAUAAAAUUAAUUUUUUUUA